GAGUUAUGGAAGGGGCUCACUUCAGUCCAGUCCGUGGCGGUAGAAGAUGGCUGAGACUCAGCUGCUGACUCGUUGGCUCGAGAGCUCACAAUUAAGAUUGAUAUCAGUGCUUAGUUAAGGUGGUGUGCUUCUGAUCCAACGAUGCAGGAGCUGCAUUCAGUCGUUACUGUCACGUCUUGGACUGAAGGGGCCUCUUCAUAUUCUGCAU
RNAcentral lists this microRNA precursor (208 nucleotides) under Phaseolus vulgaris (common bean). Its description in RNAcentral is "pre miRNA MIR159". The stretch from base 50 to 163 matches the Rfam family "MIR4414 microRNA precursor family". The record is from RNAcentral. Lineage: Eukaryota; Viridiplantae; Streptophyta; Magnoliopsida; Fabales; Fabaceae.